AUUGGAUUCGACCGGACGGGUGAGGCGCCGGUGGCGUGCCGAGGUUCCAAGGUGGCCUCGUUAAACCCCUUGGGCUAUUUUUACGUGCCAACAAUGGCUACGCAAUGGCUGCCUAAUUAACUAGGCAACCCGUCUCGGUGGGCCUGGGCCCGUGGGCCUGCCGCGACGACAAUCAACGGGCUCGCCGAGGGACAGUGGGGCGGUUACCCCUCGGGACUUCCGUCGCCCUGGCCUGGACGAACCGUGUCCCAUGCGGGUCGGACGGGCGAGACGCAAAACAGGGACUACGCACGUAGAAGCCGUCGCUGAAACGUCACGGGACGCGGGUUCGAU
This 333-nucleotide transfer-messenger RNA is filed under the name Phycisphaerales bacterium. It matches the Rfam family "transfer-messenger RNA". From Rfam's summary of the family: Bacterial tmRNA, also known as 10Sa RNA or SsrA, is named for its dual tRNA and mRNA-like properties. Its role is to liberate the mRNA from a stalled ribosome. To accomplish this part of the tmRNA is used as a reading frame that ends in a translation stop signal. Lineage: Bacteria; Pseudomonadati; Planctomycetota; Phycisphaerae; Phycisphaerales. The record is from RNAcentral.